RNAcentral lists this transfer RNA (75 nucleotides) under Hadarchaeum sp. (SeqCode). RNAcentral describes it as "Candidatus Hadarchaeum sp. tRNA-Asp". It matches the Rfam family "tRNA". Rfam says of the family: Transfer RNA (tRNA) molecules are approximately 80 nucleotides in length. Their secondary structure includes four short double-helical elements and three loops (D, anti-codon, and T loops). The record is from RNAcentral. Lineage: Archaea; Methanobacteriati; Hadarchaeota (SeqCode); Hadarchaeia (SeqCode); Hadarchaeales (SeqCode); Hadarchaeaceae (SeqCode).
GCCCCGGUGGUGUAGCCCGGUCUAACAUGUGGCCCUGUCGAGGCCACGCCUCGGGUUCAAAUCCCGACCGGGGCG